This 253-nucleotide ribosomal RNA is filed under the name uncultured bacterium. RNAcentral's name for it is "partial 16S ribosomal RNA". It matches the Rfam family "Bacterial small subunit ribosomal RNA", at positions 524 to 776 of the family's 1533-position model. The record is from RNAcentral.
UACGUAGGUGGCAAGCGUUGUCCGGAUUUCUUGGGUUUAAAGGGUGCGUAGGCGGCCCUGUAAGUCAGUGCUGAAAUAUCCCGGCUUAACCGGGAGGGUGGCAUUGAUACUGCAGGGCUUGAGUACAGAUGAAGUAGGCGGAAUUGACGGUGUAGCGGUGAAAUGCAUAGAUAUCGUCAAGAACACCGAUAGCGAAGGCAGCUUACUAAGCUGUAACUGACGCUGAGGCACGAAAGUGUGGGGAUCAAACAGG